This 1574-nucleotide long non-coding RNA is filed under the name Mytilus galloprovincialis (Mediterranean mussel). Lineage: Eukaryota; Metazoa; Mollusca; Bivalvia; Mytilida; Mytilidae. The record is from RNAcentral.
UCUGUUUCUCCUUUCUUUUCCAACAGUCAUAGGCCUACACAUUUUUUAAAUAGGGGAAAGACACAUAUAGUACUGGUUGAUAGAUAUAACAGAGGGACAGACACAUAUAGUACAUGGGCAAUAAUACCAAACCUCUCUAUCUUUUUCCAUUUUAAUAUGUACCCUCUUGCAAUAUAAAUAUGUAUUAUAUAUUUGUGUAAAAAAUAAACAAAUAAAAUCAACUUUAACUCAUAACCAAGUUUAAUGAACAAUAACAUAUAUAUUGCAUUGCAAUCAAUUGGAAUUAUUCCAAUCUAUACUAAUUUCCUACCAUUAACAGAUAUGAACAGCUAAGUAAAGGACCACAAUAAAAGUAGAUGUGGGUCAUUUAUCAAAUUCUUUAUAGGAAUGAUUUGUUAAGUCUUGAUUUACUAGUUUAUUUUUAUAUUUAUAAAUAAAACCAGGUAUAUAUUUACAGAUAAAAAUAACCUACAAACAUGUGUUCAGAGGGUUUUGUUCAGACAUUUGUUGUCAAUAGUGAUUUUUUCAAAAGGUGUUGAAAUCAGAAUAUAUUUUUUUUUAAAUUUCAUAAAAGGAAUCCAAAGAUUUUUUUUGGACCUUGAGAUUUGUUGAUUACUCUUUUAUGUUGAAAAAAAUCUAUCUUUUUGAGAAAAAUUAUGUAUUAUUUUUAAAUAAAAGUCGGUAUACUUAACUUAGCUGGCUUAAUCUGUUUGGUAGGGAAAAUGGUACAAAAUGAUUAGCUGUAUACAAUAACAAAUGCAUAAUUUCAAUAUUUGGAAAUAAAUAAAUUUGGUGUAUUUACUGUCUUCUGUGUUAAAAUAAUAAGCUUUAUUUUCAAUGUUAUCAAUUUUUAUGGCGACACGCUCACUCUAACGUGGAUUAUUCAAUGUGAAGAGUCAAAAAUUUAUUUUAUGGUUCAAUAAAUUCAAAAUAAAUAACAGCCAUUCAUUAAAUAACUCAAAUAACAAUAACAAUAUUUUGGCCAAAAAAAUAUACAAAAUAUUUGCUUGAACCUUAGUAGCAAUCACAGAAUACAACCAUACAUGAUAAAGAAUGACCAGCUUAUCAUGGCAAUAAGCUUUUAAUCAAUAAACAUAAUAUUAAAAGGAUACAAAUUUAUUCAAAGGAAGCACUUCAACAUAGUUAAAAAUAUCAUUAAAAAUAGCAUUUGACUGUUUGAUUUGUAUUUCUGUUUCUCCUUUCUUUUCCAAGUCAUAGGACUACACAUUUUUUAAAUAGGGGAAAGACACAUAUAGUACUGGUUGAUAGAUAUAACAGAUGGAAAGACACAUAUAGUACUGGUCAAUAGAUUUAACAGAGGGAAAGACAAGAUAUUUAGAAAUUUGUUCUGUAAAUAUAUAGGUACCUUCUAUAACUGCGGCAAGAAUUUCCAAAUCACAAAGAAAAUACACAACGAUCCACUGCACAUGACAUAUAAUCCAACCAAGUCAGUGACUCUGGAAGAUUUUUGUACAACAGUCUCAGAGGACUUGCCUUCAAAAGGUAUCAUAGAAAGUAGAAUUCAUGACCAAAAUCAGGUUUGUUGAUCUUUAGACUUAUGUGUAGAACAUGUU